This 83-nucleotide small RNA is filed under the name Marmota monax (woodchuck). The record is from RNAcentral. Lineage: Eukaryota; Metazoa; Chordata; Mammalia; Rodentia; Sciuridae.
GCUGGGCGCGGUGGUGCACGCCUGUAAUCCCAGCAGUCUGGGAGGCUGAGGCAAGAGGAUCGCAAGUUCAAAGCCAGCCUCAG